Molecule: ribosomal RNA, 443 nt
Filed under: uncultured bacterium
Lineage: Bacteria
Description: partial 16S ribosomal RNA
Rfam family: Bacterial small subunit ribosomal RNA
Source: RNAcentral
CCUACGGGCGGCUGCAGUGGGGAAUAUUGGGCAAUGGAGGCAACUCUGACCCAGCAACGCCGCGUGAAUGAUGAAGGUCUUCGGAUUGUAAAGCUCUGUGAUGGGGGAUGAACACAAUGACGGUAGCCCAAUAGCAAGCCACGGCUAACUACGUGCCAGCAGCCGCGGUAAUACGUAGGGGGCAAGCGUUAUCCGGAAUGACUGGGCGUACAGGGUGCGUAGGUGGUUUAGUAAGUUGGCGGUGUAAUUCCGGGGCUCAACCUCGGCACUACCGCCAAAACUAGUAUGCUAGAGUGCAGGGAGGGUAAGGGGAAUUCGUAGGGUAGCGGUGGAAUGCGUAGAUAUUAGGAGGAACAUCAGGGGCGAAGGCAGCUUACGGGACUGUAACUGACGCUGAGGCACGAAGGCGUGGGGAGCAAACAGGAUUAGAUACCCGAGUAGUC